AACGAACGCUGGCGGCAGGCUUAACACAUGCAAGUCGAACGCCCCGCAAGGGGAGUGGCAGACGGGUGAGUAACGCGUGGGAACAUACCCUUUUCUGCGGAAUAGCUCCGGGAAACUGGAAUUAAUACCGCAUGUGCCCUACGGGGGAAAGAUUUAUCGGGGAAGGAUUGGCCCGCGUUGGAUUAGCUAGUUGGUGGGGUAAAGGCCUACCAAGGCGACGAUCCAUAGCUGGUCUGAGAGGAUGAUCAGCCACAUUGGGACUGAGACACGGCCCAAACUCCUACGGGAGGCAGCAG
RNAcentral lists this ribosomal RNA (296 nucleotides) under Rhizobium sp. SH19312. RNAcentral describes it as "partial 16S ribosomal RNA". It matches the Rfam family "Bacterial small subunit ribosomal RNA", at positions 29 to 354 of the family's 1533-position model. Lineage: Bacteria; Pseudomonadati; Pseudomonadota; Alphaproteobacteria; Hyphomicrobiales; Rhizobiaceae. The record is from RNAcentral.